CAAAUAUUACAUAGGGGGUCCUGCCUGCCCAGUGACAAAAAGUUAAACGGCCGCGGUAUCUUGACCGUGCGAAGGUAGCAUAAUCACUUGUCUCCUAAAUAGAGACUGGUAUGAAUGGCAAGACGGAACUUAACUGUCUCCUUUUCUCACAUCUUAAUUUCACUCUCCCGUGAAGAGGCGGGAAAACAUUCGCUAGACGAGAAGACCCUGUCGAGCUUAAGCAAAAUACUAAUUUUUAUAUUCUUCUUAGUUAUGUUCUAAUUCUUUCUAUUAAACACAACUUAGUAAAAAUUAUUAGUACAAGCUUUGGUUGGGGCAACCGCGGAGAAGAAGAAUCCUCCGCUUACAAAUAUAUAAAAAUAAGACCCUACAAGUCUAAUAUUAUAUAAAUAAGUCAACUGAUCCACCACGGUGAUCAAAGGAAAAAGUUACCGCAGGGAUAACAGCGUUAUCUUUUCUGAGAGUUCACAUUGACGAAAAGGUUUGCGACCUCGAUGUUGGAUCGGGACAUCCUAAGGGUGCAGAAGCUUUUAAGGGUUGGUCUGUUCGACCAUUAAAGUCCU
Molecule: ribosomal RNA, 563 nt
Filed under: Mellita sp. 5 Ecuador
Lineage: Eukaryota; Metazoa; Echinodermata; Echinoidea; Clypeasteroida; Mellitidae
Description: partial 16S ribosomal RNA
Rfam family: Bacterial large subunit ribosomal RNA
Source: RNAcentral